RNAcentral lists this transfer RNA (73 nucleotides) under Loxodonta africana (African savanna elephant). It matches the Rfam family "tRNA". From Rfam's summary of the family: Transfer RNA (tRNA) molecules are approximately 80 nucleotides in length. Their secondary structure includes four short double-helical elements and three loops (D, anti-codon, and T loops). The record is from Rfam by way of RNAcentral. Lineage: Eukaryota; Metazoa; Chordata; Mammalia; Proboscidea; Elephantidae.
CCUUUGGUGGUGCAAACGGUUAACGUGCUCGGCUGCUAACCGAAAGGUUGGAGGUUCGAGUCUACCCAGAGGU